GGCAGACGGGUGAGUAACGCGUGGGAACCUACCUUUAGGUACGGAACAACAGUUGGAAACGACUGCUAAUACCGUAUGUGCCCUAUGGGGGAAAGAUUUAUCGCCUAAGGAUGGGCCCGCGUUGGAUUAGCUAGUUGGUGGGGUAAAGGCCUACCAAGGCGACGAUCCAUAGCUGGUCUGAGAGGAUGAUCAGCCACACUGGGACUGAGACACGGCCCAGACUCCUACGGGAGGCAGCAGUGGGGAAUAUUGGACAAUGGGCGCAAGCCUGAUCCAGCCAUGCCGCGUGAGUGAUGAAGGCCCUAGGGUUGUAAAGCUCUUUCAGCGAGGAGGAUAAUGACGUUACUCGCAGAAGAAGCCCCGGCUAACUUCGUGCCAGCAGCCGCGGUAAUACGAAGGGGGCUAGCGUUGUUCGGAAUCACUGGGCGUAAAGCGCACGUAGGCGGACUUUUAAGUCAGGGGUGAAAUCCCGGGGCUCAACCCCGGAACUGCCUUUGAUACUGGAAGUCUUGAGUCCGAGAGAGGUGAGUGGAACUCCGAGUGUAGAGGUGAAAUUCGUAGAUAUUCGGAAGAACACCAGUGGCGAAGGCGGCUCACUGGCUCGGUACUGACGCUG
RNAcentral lists this ribosomal RNA (616 nucleotides) under Roseibium aggregatum. RNAcentral's name for it is "bacterial SSU rRNA". It matches the Rfam family "Bacterial small subunit ribosomal RNA", at positions 97 to 748 of the family's 1533-position model. The record is from RNAcentral. Lineage: Bacteria; Pseudomonadati; Pseudomonadota; Alphaproteobacteria; Hyphomicrobiales; Stappiaceae.